RNAcentral lists this ribosomal RNA (410 nucleotides) under uncultured bacterium. RNAcentral describes it as "partial 16S ribosomal RNA". It matches the Rfam family "Bacterial small subunit ribosomal RNA", at positions 360 to 771 of the family's 1533-position model. The record is from RNAcentral.
AAUAUUGCGCAAUGGAGGGAACUCUGACGCAGCGACGCCGCGUGAGCGAUGAAGGUCUUCGGAUCGUAAAGCUCUGUCCUUGGGGAAGAAGGGAGCCGUAAGGCUUCUUGACGGUACCCAUGGAGGAAGCCCCGGCUAACUACGUGCCAGCAGCCGCGGUAAUACGUAGGGGGCAAGCGUUGUCCGGAAUUAUUGGGCGUAAAGCGUGCGUAGGCGGCUUAUUAAGUCUGACGUGAAAUCCCACAGCUUAACUGUGGAGGGUCGUUGGAAACUGGUAGGCUUGAGUACAGUAGAGGUAAGUGGAAUUCCAAGUGGAGCGGUGGAAUGCGUAGAUAUUUGGAGGAACACCAGUGGCGAAGGCGGCUUACUGGGCUGGAACUGACGCUGAUGCACGAAAGCGUGGGGAGCAA